This 498-nucleotide long non-coding RNA is filed under the name Dromaius novaehollandiae (emu). RNAcentral describes it as "lncRNA (ENSDNVG00000000249.1)". The record is from RNAcentral. Lineage: Eukaryota; Metazoa; Chordata; Aves; Casuariiformes; Dromaiidae.
AUGCAGGUUCAGCCAGCCGGAAGACGAAGGACCAGGUGGGGAUCCGCUGCGUUAUUGGGACAUCCUGCCCGGAGCRGUGGCCUGCCGUUAGGAGCCCUGCGGAUGGCGGAUAGCGGGGACGAGCCCUCAGGCAGCGCUGCAGAACGCCUUCCCAUCAACUUUGAAUCAGCCSCUGCAGCCUUGCCGUCUCGCAAGCUGGCCCAGCGGAUACGGAGCGCGAGCCCUUGCAGCUCAUGCCUUCCUCGGUCACGGCACGGCUCCUCGGGCUCCUCACCAUGGGAAUUUCUAUCUCAUCGCCAUCUUGUGGCUUUCGCCAAAAACACCGGUGUUGCAGAACUCCCUCCUCAGCUGGGAAGGCUUUAUUGCAUGAGGGCACCUGUUAAAACGCAGUAUCUACUAGACAUGAGUCUUCAAUCUUCAAUGACAUCCACACCCUCCAAAAGCCUCUGCCUGGAGCCCGGCCGGCAGGAUAGCGUGGAAGACCCUGUGGUCAGAUAA